CAGAACGAACGCUGGCGGCGCGUUUAAGCAUGCAAGUCGAGCGGCAAGGGCCUCGGGCCCCUAGAGCGGCGAACGGGUGAGUAACACGUGGGUAACCUGCCCAUAAGAGGGGGAUAACAUCCGGAAACGGGUGCUAAUACCGCAUAGUUUUCUUGAUCGCAUGAUCGGGAAAGGAAAGACGGCCUUUGUGCUGUCGCUUAUGGAUGGACCCGCGGCGUAUUAGUUAGUUGGUGAGGUAACGGCUCACCAAGACGAUGAUACGUAGCCGACCUGAGAGGGUGAUCGGCCACAUUGGGACUGAGACACGGCCCAAACUCCUACGGGAGGCAGCAGUAGGGAAUCUUCCGCAAUGGACGAAAGUCUGACGGAGCAACGCCGCGUGAGUGAAGAAAGGUUUUCGGAUCGUAAAACUCUGUUGUCAGAGAAGAACAAGUUGGAGAGUAACUGCUCCAGCCUUGACGGUAUCUGACCAGAAAGCCACGGCUAACUACGUGCCAGCAGCCGC
RNAcentral lists this ribosomal RNA (505 nucleotides) under uncultured bacterium. Its description in RNAcentral is "bacterial SSU rRNA". It matches the Rfam family "Bacterial small subunit ribosomal RNA", at positions 25 to 518 of the family's 1533-position model. The record is from RNAcentral.